RNAcentral lists this ribosomal RNA (253 nucleotides) under uncultured bacterium. Its description in RNAcentral is "partial 16S ribosomal RNA". It matches the Rfam family "Bacterial small subunit ribosomal RNA", at positions 524 to 776 of the family's 1533-position model. The record is from RNAcentral.
UACGGGGGGGGCGAGCGUUGUUCGGAAUUACUGGGCGUAAAGGGUGCGUAGGCGGCGUGGCAAGUUGGGUGUGAAAUCCCUCGGCUCAACCGAGGAACUGCGCUCAAUACUGCCAUGCUCGAGGGAGACAGAGGUGAGCGGAACUUAGGGUGGAGCGGUGAAAUGCGUUGAUAUCCUAAGGAACACCGGUAGCGAAAGCGGCUCACUGGGUCUUUUCUGACGCUGAGGCACGAAAGCUAGGGUAGCGAACGGG